RNAcentral lists this unclassified non-coding RNA (323 nucleotides) under plant metagenome. Its description in RNAcentral is "partial contains 5.8S ribosomal RNA, internal transcribed spacer 2, and large subunit ribosomal RNA". The record is from RNAcentral.
UGGGUCCGUGGUAUCGUCGAACGGCUGCCCAGCGCCUACGCUUACGUCGGGGAGUUAGCCUCAGACGGUGAGGGCGUCGAUUUACGUACUCUCCGGCGGGAGUUAGACCGUACCGGAGCUCGCCGAGUCCUUGUCGCGGGGGUCGAACGGUUCUCCGAGGAAAAAUUUGCGAUGUUUAUGCGGUCUUGCAGGCUGCGCAAGGUAGAGGUGUGCAUAGUCCCCAGCGCCGUAACCCUUCUGGGAGGAGGAACUUCCCUCUCUCAAGAGGCCGGUAUUCCUUUGCUGAAGUUGGAAUAUCCUGCUUUGGAUGGGCCUCAGCGUAU